Molecule: ribosomal RNA, 567 nt
Filed under: uncultured fungus
Lineage: Eukaryota; Fungi
Description: SSU rRNA
Rfam family: Eukaryotic small subunit ribosomal RNA
Source: RNAcentral
GAUUGUAGUCAUAUGCUUGUCUCAAAGAUUAAGCCAUGCAUGUCUAAGUAUAAACACCUUUAUACUGUGAAACUGCGUACAGCUCAUUAUAUCAGUAAUUAUUUAUUUGAUGGUACACUACUACAUGGAUACCUGUAGUAAUUCUAGAGCUAAUACAUGCACAAAGUCCUGACUCGUGAGGGAAAGGAUGUAUUUAUUAGAUAAAAAAUCAAUGCCGGUUCUGCCGGGUUUAUUGAUGAGUCAUAAUAACUGUUCGAAUCGCACGGCCUCGCGCUGGCGAUAGUUCAUUCAAAUUUCUGCCCUAUCAGCUUUCGACGGUAGUGUAGUGGACUACCGUGGCAUUAACGGGUGACGGAGAAUUAGGGUUCGAUUCCGGAGAGGGAGCCUGAGAAACGGCUACCACAUCCAAGGAAGGCAGCAGGCGCGCAAAUUACCCAAUCCUGAUACAGGGAGGUAGUGACAAUAAAUAACAAUACCGGGCCUUUCUAGGUCUGGUAAUUGGAAUGAGUACAAUUUAAAUCCCUUAACGAAUUCCACUGGAGGGCAAGUCUGGUGCCAGCAGCCAAU